RNAcentral lists this ribosomal RNA (482 nucleotides) under uncultured bacterium. Its description in RNAcentral is "partial 16S ribosomal RNA". It matches the Rfam family "Bacterial small subunit ribosomal RNA", at positions 30 to 507 of the family's 1533-position model. The record is from RNAcentral.
AUUGAACGCUGGCGGCAUGCCUUACACAUGCAAGUCGAACGGUAACGGGCCUUCGGGUGCCGACGAGUGGCGAACGGGUGAGUAAUACAUCGGAACGUGCCCGAUCGUGGGGGAUAACGAGGCGAAAGCUUUGCUAAUACCUCAUACGAUCUACGGAUGAAAGCAGGGGACCGCAAGGCCUUGCUCGGACGGAGCGGCCGAUGGCAGAUUAGGUAGUUGGUGGGAUAAAAGCUUACCAAGCCGACGAUCUGUAGCUGGUCUGAGAGGAUGAUCAGCCACACUGGGACUGAGACACGGCCCAGACUCCUACGGGAGGCAGCAGUGGGGAAUUUUGGACAAUGGGCGCAAGCCUGAUCCAGCCAUGCCGCGUGCAGGAUGAAGGCCUUCGGGUUGUAAACUGCUUUUGUACGGAACGAAAAGCCUUCUUUUAAUACAGGAGGGUCAUGACGGUACCGUAAGAAUAAGCACCGGCUAACUACGUG